AUGCUGGCCAGUGGACAACCUGACUUAUUCUCCUCUGCUGCUGUCACCAUCACCCCAAUGCUGAGCUUCAUCAAUGGAAAACAUGAGGUGACCCUGGAGCCAGAGAGAAGACGGAUAGAGGAGGAGGUUGGGAGGAGACCAGGAGGAGACCAGUUCCAGUUUGAGGGCAAUGUGACCGCGCUGGGGGGCAGCGAGGAGGAGAUGACCCCCACCGUUUUUGAUUACUCUGUGAUAGAGAUUGGUACUAUAACAGAUGAGACUGAGGUUCAGAAUGAGAUCUCUUUGGUGCCCAAGGAGGAACUGUUCUCAACUUCCCCACUGCCUUUGUCAAUGUCCACUCUGGACACAUUGUUUGAAAGCUAUGGCCCUGAGAUGGUUCAUGUGGAGUCAACUCCUCCUCUGUCACCUCCAGAGCAGGCUGAGUCAACCACACAAGGCCCUGCUGUAAAGAUAGAAGUGACUGCAACCUCUACACCUGUCACAACAAUUGUGGAAACCACCCCAUCCAAAACAGAGCAAACAGCUGAGGGUGUAUCAUCUUUUUCAGAAACCAGAGAGGGACCAAGUGACAUCAUAACUACAUCCACUGAAGCAGUGUCCACUGUUUCACCAUCUGGCACAGCAGUAACCAAAGCUUCAGAACAAACCCAAACAUCUCAUACACCCACACCCCCUGAAGGAAGCCAGCAAGUCAGCACCUCUGUGUUUGACAAAGAGGUGGAGGGAUCAGAGACCCAACCCCCGGAUGAUGACAGUAAUGCUGAGGUGACUCAGCCAGAAGGGUCUGUGGAAGAGCUCUCUGUCUCUCCCACAACUGAACUGCACGUGUCCACAGAUGCGACUGAAAUUGCAGAAGGAACAAAGAGCACCUCUGCUGUUCCAGAUGUUGUAAUCUCCACUCAAACCCCUUUACUGUCCAUCUCUACACCCACUUCUGGUGAUGUUGAAGAUGGAUCACCGCCAGCGACCCCCAGUGACAUUGAGGGCUCCACCUCAGGCGAGGAGGAAGGAUCAGCACAGGACACACACACUCCUCAGGAACCAACCAGCACCACUCUGCCUUCCUUAACAACAAGUGCCCAAACAACUUUAGGAGAAACGAUCACGACUGAGGUGACGCCAUCCAAAGAGGCAGGCAGCACAAAAUCACAUUCCUUGAGCUCUACCACAGCUGAAUUUUUGACAAGCCAGAAAGAGGGAACAUCAGUUAGCCAGCCUUUUGUGUCUCCCACCGUGAAAGACACGUCU
This 1248-nucleotide long non-coding RNA is filed under the name Salmo trutta (river trout). Its description in RNAcentral is "lncRNA (ENSSTUG00000041009.1)". Lineage: Eukaryota; Metazoa; Chordata; Actinopteri; Salmoniformes; Salmonidae. The record is from RNAcentral.